GCAAACUUGGUCAUUUAGAGGAAGUAAAAGUCGUAACAAGGUUUCCGUAGGUGAACCUGCGGAAGGAUCAUUAAAGUGCCAGCGGGACACCCCGCUAAAGGCCCCACACUUGUCUACCGAACCACGUUGCCUCGGCGGGACCGCCCCCCUAGGGGGGCCGCCGGGGGGAUUUAACCCCCCCUGGUCCGCGCCCGCCGGAGGACAUAUAACCAAAACACCCUGUAACAGUGAGUAGUCUGAGCGAUUAUUUAAAUGAAUCAAAACUUUCAACAAUGGAUCUCUUGGUUCCGGCAUCGAUGAAGAACGCAGC
This 310-nucleotide unclassified non-coding RNA is filed under the name uncultured fungus. RNAcentral's name for it is "partial contains small subunit ribosomal RNA, internal transcribed spacer 1, and 5.8S ribosomal RNA". The stretch from base 1 to 73 matches the Rfam family "Eukaryotic small subunit ribosomal RNA", at positions 1759 to 1831 of the family's 1831-position model. The record is from RNAcentral. Lineage: Eukaryota; Fungi.